This 1359-nucleotide ribosomal RNA is filed under the name uncultured bacterium. RNAcentral describes it as "bacterial SSU rRNA". It matches the Rfam family "Bacterial small subunit ribosomal RNA", at positions 28 to 1381 of the family's 1533-position model. The record is from RNAcentral.
GAUGAACGCUAGCUACAGGCUUAACACAUGCAAGUCGAGGGGCAGCAUUUUAGUUUGCUUGCAAACUAAAGAUGGCGACCGGCGCACGGGUGAGUAACACGUAUCCAACCUGCCGAUAACUCGGGGAUAGCCUUUCGAAAGAAAGAUUAAUAUCCGAUAGUAUAUUAAAACCGCAUGGUUUUACUAUUAAAGAAUUUCGGUUAUCGAUGGGGAUGCGUUCCAUUAGUUUGUUGGCGGGGUAACGGCCCACCAAGACUACGAUGGAUAGGGGUUCUGAGAGGAAGGUCCCCCACAUUGGAACUGAGACACGGUCCAAACUCCUACGGGAGGCAGCAGUGAGGAAUAUUGGUCAAUGGACGAGAGUCUGAACCAGCCAAGUAGCGUGAAGGAUGACUGCCCUAUGGGUUGUAAACUUCUUUUAUAUGGGAAUAAAGUAUUCCACGUGUGGGAUUUUGUAUGUACCAUAUGAAUAAGGAUCGGCUAACUCCGUGCCAGCAGCCGCGGUAAUACGGAGGAUCCGAGCGUUAUCCGGAUUUAUUGGGUUUAAAGGGAGCGUAGGUGGAUUGUUAAGUCAGUUGUGAAAGUUUGCGGCUCAACCGUAAAAUUGCAGUUGAAACUGGCAGUCUUGAGUACAGUAGAGGUGGGCGGAAUUCGUGGUGUAGCGGUGAAAUGCUUAGAUAUCACGAAGAACUCCGAUUGCGAAGGCAGCUCACUAGACUGCAACUGACACUGAUGCUCGAAAGUGUGGGUAUCAAACAGGAUUAGAUACCCUGGUAGUCCACACAGUAAACGAUGAAUACUCGCUGUUUGCGAUAUACAGUAAGCGGCCAAGCGAAAGCAUUAAGUAUUCCACCUGGGGAGUACGCCGGCAACGGUGAAACUCAAAGGAAUUGACGGGGGCCCGCACAAGCGGAGGAACAUGUGGUUUAAUUCGAUGAUACGCGAGGAACCUUACCCGGGCUUAAAUUGCAUUUGAAUAAUCUGGAAACAGGUUAGCCGCAAGGCAAAUGUGAAGGUGCUGCAUGGUUGUCGUCAGCUCGUGCCGUGAGGUGUCGGCUUAAGUGCCAUAACGAGCGCAACCCUUAUCUUUAGUUACUAACAGGUUAUGCUGAGGACUCUAGAGAGACUGCCGUCGUAAGAUGUGAGGAAGGUGGGGAUGACGUCAAAUCAGCACGGCCCUUACGUCCGGGGCUACACACGUGUUACAAUGGGGGGUACAGAAGGCAGCUACCUGGCGACAGGAUGCUAAUCCCAAAAACCUCUCUCAGUUCGGAUCGAAGUCUGCAACCCGACUUCGUGAAGCUGGAUUCGCUAGUAAUCGCGCAUCAGCCAUGGCGCGGUGAAUACGUUCCCGGGCCU